RNAcentral lists this long non-coding RNA (295 nucleotides) under Phoenix dactylifera (date palm). RNAcentral's name for it is "long non-coding RNA (PDAC_LNC010961)". Lineage: Eukaryota; Viridiplantae; Streptophyta; Magnoliopsida; Arecales; Arecaceae. The record is from RNAcentral.
GUCGACUCGAAGUCUUGAGGAGCUGACCCCUCAAAAUAAGGGGGAGAUUAGAGUCGACUCAAGAGCUAACUCAAAGCUCUGCUGGGUGUUGAGGAGCCGACUCGCAUUAAAUGAUGAGUCAACUUUGAGGCAGCGGUCAACCUCCUAGGUCAACACCUAAAAGCCCUACUCUCCUUUAUCGAAGCUGACCUUUCACUUUUCCUUCUUCAUUGCUUUGAAAUCUCUCUUCUUCUUUGUGAGUUACCGAGCAAAUCUGCUCCAUGUUCUCUCAAAUCAAUUUGCUCUCCUCUCUUCA